CGCGUAGGCGGUCUUGCAAGUCAGGGGUGAAAUCCCGGAGCUUAACUCCGGAAUUGCUUUUGAUACUGUGAGGCUAGAGUGUAUUAGAGGAUGGCGGAAUUCCUAGUGUAGUGGUGAAAUACGUAGAUAUUAGGAAGAACACCGGUGGCGAAGGCGGCCAUCUGGGAUACAACUGACGCUGAGGCGCGAAAGCGUGGGGAUCAAACA
Molecule: ribosomal RNA, 207 nt
Filed under: uncultured bacterium
Lineage: Bacteria
Description: partial 16S ribosomal RNA
Rfam family: Bacterial small subunit ribosomal RNA
Source: RNAcentral